RNAcentral lists this ribosomal RNA (301 nucleotides) under uncultured bacterium. RNAcentral describes it as "partial 16S ribosomal RNA". It matches the Rfam family "Bacterial small subunit ribosomal RNA", at positions 509 to 809 of the family's 1533-position model. The record is from RNAcentral.
CAGUAGCCACGGUAAUACGGAGGGGGCUAGCGUUGUUCGGAAUUACUGGGCGUAAAGCGCACGUAGGCGGCUUGGUAAGUUAGAGGUGAAAGCCCGGAGCUCAACUCCGGAAUUGCCUUUAAGACUGCCGAGCUAGCAGGUGAGAGAGGUAAGUGGAAUUCCGAGUGUAGAGGUGAAAUUCGUAGAUAUUCGGAAGAACACCAGUGGCGAAGGCGGCUUACUGGCUCAUACUGGACGCUGAGGUGCGAAAGCGUGGGGAGCAAACAGGAUUAGAUACCCGCGUAGUCCCUGUCUCUUAUAU